This 1023-nucleotide long non-coding RNA is filed under the name Nicotiana tabacum (common tobacco). Its description in RNAcentral is "long non-coding RNA (NTAB_LNC000553)". The record is from RNAcentral. Lineage: Eukaryota; Viridiplantae; Streptophyta; Magnoliopsida; Solanales; Solanaceae.
UUAUAUACGGUCGAAAUUGGGUUCGUACAUUGUAUGACCAGUCGAGACCGAAACAUGACGGGUCGGGGCUCGACCCCAGACGCGAAGUUGAAUCGUUGAGCUCGUGACUCCGGGACCAAACAAGAUCGAGGGAACUUUGUCGAGCCAAUUAACGGAAGGUUAAAAUAUCUGCGAUCAGUUGGAGAUCACGACGAAAAUCUCGGCACGUAUCAAGGAGAAGCCGAUUAAUUAGCAAAUCAUGAGAUUUUUAACUUUUACAGAAUUAUAUCAAGAGUAUGGCUCCCCUACUAUAAAAAAGGAGGUCUAAUCAUUUGUUAAGGACAUUGUAACACGCAUCAAAGAAGCAAUAUAUUGAUCAUUUCUAGUUCGUGUUAACUUGUUCUGUUGUUGAUCGAGGCAUUUCCAAACUAGAGGGUGACCAAUCUUCAAAGCUAAGACUGUUCAAUUUUUGUGGUUUGCAAUUAUUUUUUCCUGAUUAAUUUAGUAUUGAUCUAUUUUCUCAAUUUAUAUCAAGUUAUAUCACGUAUCCUUAAAACCGUAUAUAAAUUCAAUUGUUAUUACAUUUUAGGAUAAACAACCUCAAACGAGUGUCGCCAAAUAACGAGAGUCUCCAACUUUACAAUUUCAGUUUGGAUGCAAAAUUGCUACGGCAAGCGACGAGGACCGAAACCUGAACCACGGACGCCUGACGGACCUCAAAUCGGAAACAAUGAACAACGAUCUCAAACGGAAAACUCGAAAACCCGCAGCAGUGAAAACUUAAAAGUGAGUUUGUCGGUGGCCGGAUUUUACAUUACAGGUGUUUGGAUGUGGUGUUAAUGGAGGUAUUGGCUGGUUUUUGAAGCUUAUUUAAUGGAGGUUUACAUGGUAUUUUAAUGGUGGAGAGGAGAUGAUGUGAAGAAGAUUGAAAGCAGUAUGAAGGAAUAUCCGGAAAAUCACUGUUGGUAUAGGAAUUUUGGCUAGACCAGUAGUGGUGCCGCCGUCUCUAUUUGUGCUCUCUGUUCGUGCCUUCCCCGUCCGUCC